NAGAUUGUGUAUGUGCAUGGAGGUGUUUAUUGAGAGAGAGAGAGAGAGAGAGAGAGAUUGUGUAUGUGCAUGGAGGUGUUUAUUGAGAGAGAGAGAGAGAGAGAGAGAUUGUGUAUGUGCAUGGAGGUGUUUAUUGAGAGAGAGAGAGAGAGAGAGAGAUUGUGUAUGUGCAUGGAGGUGUUUAUUUUGUAACUAUUUGGGAUGUCUGGGGAUCAGAAUGUGUAUUGCUGCUUUUGCUGCUAUUGCUGGGUUGGAGGCUGGGGGCAGGACAGCUGAGGAUGAAGAUCAAGAGAAAGGAGGUUGGGGCUGGGGAUGUCGCUCAGGGGUAGAGUGCUUGCCUAGCAGGCAUGAGGCCCUGGGUUUAAUCCUCAGCUCUGCCAAAAAAGAAAAAAAAAAGGAGAGAGAAUGACAGUGAGAGAGAGAGAAGGAGGGAGGGAGGGAGGGAGACAGAAAGAAAGAGAGAAAGAAAGAAAAAGGAGAGAAGGAGGUGAACAGGGCUCUCCCUUGGGCUGGGCAAUAUGAACCUGCUCCCAUGCAAAGAAAAAUGAAAGCACAGAUGGCCUCAGACUACUUGGACCUAGGCCCCACAAAUUUCCCACAGGUUCAAGGAGUACUUUUCCCUGUGCUCUUGUGCUGACAUAUGACACCCCACACAUGCUGGUGUAUCCACUGUCAUGGAUACCACUCACAUGCUGCCCUCUGGACAAUAGUCCUGGGACGUGGGAACUGGAAGGGGCAGAUGGUGAGAGGAAAGAGUGAGGCUGCUGGCUUAGGAAGGGUAGCAUCUCUCUCUGCAUCACACCCAGGAGCUGCCAGGUUCAAAGUGUUGGGGUGCAACUCUAUGCUCUCCUCUCCUCCAAUCUACCCUUAUGUCCUCUAGUUAUAUAAUGAGGAAAUGCCAAAGGGAGGACAGAAUAGGGAUUUGUAAGGCCCACAAAGCCCACAUUGGCCCCCAUCUCAAGCUCUUCUCCCACCCUGAUCAGCAUCCCUGCUCCCUGUCAUCUAAGAUCCAGAGCCAGGCCUCCCACUACCACCAUCCUGGGCUCCUUACUCACCUUUCUAGAACAUGGGUACCUCCUCUUUUAUAGACUGCUGCCUUUGCUGCUGACUUACUGUGUGACUCUGGCCCAUUGUUCAAUCUCUGUGGCCCUGAGGAAAGCUCCCUCCCCACAGGACAUACUACUUUUCUGGCAGGCAAGGACUUCCAACUGAGGCAGUGUACAUGUGGCAGGGAGAGAUAGGAAGCUGGCAGCCAGCAGCUUCUACAUCUAAGGAGAAUGCAUGGUUCCCUCCUUCCCUGUCUGGGAGGUUGAAGGGGAAGAACCAAGGCCUUAGCUUGCCCCUGCCUCCUGCCCCCUUGUAGAUACUGCCUUAACACUCCCCCUACCCUUGGCUGUGGCUUUCACCCAGCCAGGUUUCUCCGCGCUCACUAAUUUAUUUCCAGGAAGGUGUGUGGAAGACAUGAGCCGUGUAUAAUAUUUUUUUUAACAUUUCCAUUGCAGUAUUGACCAUCAUCCUUGGUUGUGUAUCGUGUAACACAAAUAAUGAUAUUAAAAGCAUCAAACAAGCCAGCCUCAGCUCCCUA
This 1585-nucleotide long non-coding RNA is filed under the name Marmota monax (woodchuck). The stretch from base 309 to 380 matches the Rfam family "tRNA". Lineage: Eukaryota; Metazoa; Chordata; Mammalia; Rodentia; Sciuridae. The record is from RNAcentral.